RNAcentral lists this small nuclear RNA (322 nucleotides) under Chinchilla lanigera (long-tailed chinchilla). RNAcentral describes it as "7SK RNA (ENSCLAG00000021777.1)". It matches the Rfam family "7SK RNA". Rfam says of the family: 7SK was discovered as an abundant small nuclear RNA in the mid-70s but a possible function has only recently been suggested. Lineage: Eukaryota; Metazoa; Chordata; Mammalia; Rodentia; Chinchillidae. The record is from RNAcentral.
GGAUGUGAGGGCUCUCUGGCUGUGAUCGCUGUCACCCCAUUGGUUGCCGGGUUUGAUUCAGCUGAUUUGCCCGGCUAGAGGGGGCUGUCCCCUUCCUCCCUCAGAGCUCCAUGUGCAUCCCUCCCGAAGCUCGGUCGAAGAGGACGACCACCCCCGAUAGAGGAGGACCUUUCCUUGGUCAAGGAUAUAUGAGUAGCUGAGCUACCCUGCUAGAACCUCCAAACAGGCUCUCCAGAGCGAUAAACGACUAUGAAGAGGGGCUGGGGAUUUAGCUCAGCGGCAAAAAGCACCUUCCUGGCAAGCGCAAGGUGAUGAGUUCGGU